This 84-nucleotide transfer RNA is filed under the name Candidatus Terrybacteria bacterium RIFCSPLOWO2_01_FULL_40_23. Its description in RNAcentral is "tRNA-Leu". It matches the Rfam family "tRNA". Rfam says of the family: Transfer RNA (tRNA) molecules are approximately 80 nucleotides in length. Their secondary structure includes four short double-helical elements and three loops (D, anti-codon, and T loops). The record is from RNAcentral. Lineage: Bacteria; Candidatus Terryibacteriota.
GGGCAUGUGGCGGAAUGGUAUACGCUCACGACUUAAAAUCGUGUCUCUAACGAGGUGUGGGUUCGACUCCCACCAUGCCCACCC